GCGCUCGCUUUGGCUGCACAUAUACUGCUACUGGAACAAGGCAGAGAAGGUGAGCAUGGCUCUUGUGCAAGGAUAAUAUGCAAAUUCACGAAGCGUCCCAUAUUUGA
Artibeus jamaicensis (Jamaican fruit-eating bat) is the source of this 107-nucleotide small nuclear RNA. The record is from RefSeq and is a predicted model, not a curated record. Lineage: Eukaryota; Metazoa; Chordata; Mammalia; Chiroptera; Phyllostomidae.